UCGCUCUUCAACGAGGAAUCCCUAGUAAGCAUGAGUCAUCAGCUCGUGCUGAUUACGUCCCUGCCCUUUGUACACACCGCCCGUCGCUACUACCGAUUGAAUGGCUUAGUGAGACCUUUGGAUUGGGGUUUAGGGAUCGGAAACGAUUCUUAUUCUCCGAAAAGUCGGUCAAACUUGGUCAUUUAGAGGAAGUAAAAGUCGUAACAAGGUUUCCGUAGGCGAACCUGCGGAAGGAUCAUUAAAAAUUUAUAUCCGGGAAUUCGUUUCGUUUUCCCGUGAUUAUUUGUAUUCAAAUCCCACUCUUUAUAAAUACAUUAAUUAUAUAAAACAAAAGUAAAAAAGAAAACUUUCAACAACGGAUCUCUUGGCUCUCGCAUCGAUGAAGAACGCAGCGAAAUGCGAUACGUAGUGUGAAUUGCAGAAUUCCGUGAAUCAUCGAAUCUUUGAACACAAAUUGUACUUUCCAGUAUUCUGGGAAGUAUGCUUGGUCGAGGGUCACUAAAAUAACAUUCGUGAAUUUUUUUGCGGAUUUGAGUUUUCCGGUAUUUAUAAUAUAAAAAUGUUGGUAACUUUAAAAUUAUUAUUACUUGGUACAAGUUGAAGACGUUCUAUAUGUGUGGUUCGCUGACAACUUGUCCAUCAUCAUAUACUAUGCGCGCACUUGGUUUUUUACGCUCUGUGCGAGUAUAUAUUUUUUUUAUGACCUCAGCUCAAGUAAGAAUACCCGCUGAACUUAAGCAUAUCAAUAAGCGGAGGAAAAGAAACUAACAAGGAUUCCCCUAGUAACGGCGAGUGAAGAGGGAAAAGCUCAAAUUUUAAAUCUACCUGGUUCCCAGGUCGAAUUGUAAUUUGAAGAAGCGAUAUCGGUGUGAAGGUCUGGUUCAAGUUCUUUGGAACAAGACAUCAUGGAGGGUGAGAAUCCCGUGCAUGAUCAGACCAAAAUACUUAAUAUUCGUUUUCUAAGAGUCGAGUUGUUUGGGAAUGCAGCUCAAAAUGGGAGGUAUAUUUCUCCUAAGGCUAAAUAUUGGCGAGAGACCGAUAGCGAACAAGUACCGUGAGGGAAAGAUGAAAAGAACUUUGAAAAGAGAGUUAAACAGUACGCGAAAUUGUUGAAAGGGAAACGAUUGAAGUCAGUCAUACCAACGGGAAAUCAACCUCUUGAGUUUGGUCUUGUGGGUUUCGAAGAGUUUAAAAACCUUCGGAUUUGCGAGGAUUGGGCUCUUCUGGUGUACUUUCUCGUACGGUUAGUCAACAUCGGUUUUGAAUGUCAUAAAAUGACUGGAGGAAUGUGGCUUCGAUCUCGUAUUGAAGUGUUAUAGCCUUUGGUAGAUGUGAUGUUUGAGACCGAGGAUUGCAACGGAUACCCUUCUGGGCUAUUCGUCUGAUCUCUGAUACGUUGCCUUGAUGUCGAAAGCUUGCUUAUGAUGUUAGGGUAUUACGGUCAAAAGGUUAGAACGGAUUAAAUUCGUUAAGGAUGUUGACGUAAUGACUUUAAACGACCCGUCUUGAAACACGGACCAAGGAGUCUAACAUAUGUGCGAGUGUUU
RNAcentral lists this ribosomal RNA (1547 nucleotides) under uncultured Glomeromycotina. RNAcentral's name for it is "eukaryotic LSU rRNA". The stretch from base 701 to 1547 matches the Rfam family "Eukaryotic large subunit ribosomal RNA", at positions 1 to 695 of the family's 3401-position model. The record is from RNAcentral. Lineage: Eukaryota; Fungi; Glomeromycota.